Bombus huntii is the source of this 4042-nucleotide long non-coding RNA. RefSeq lists it as uncharacterized. The record is from RefSeq and is a predicted model, not a curated record. The transcript is spliced from 2 exons. Lineage: Eukaryota; Metazoa; Arthropoda; Insecta; Hymenoptera; Apidae.
CAUAAUAAAAAGGAGCUGCUUUCUAAUACUUCGCUUCCUUGUAAUGCCUACGUUAACAAUAACGAGGUUCGACUUUUUGUUUUUAGAGGGAUACUGGAAAAUUUGAAAGUACAGUACCAUUGGGAAGAAAAUCACGAUAUUGAAAACGAUAUUUGCAAAUUGAACAAUAUUCCAGAUUUAUUCAUAAUUUCAUACUACGCGAAGAAUAGACUUUCAUAGGUAUAUAAAGGAAAUAUUAAGUAUAGGAAAACUCUUUUUCGUUGUAGGUGACAUAUGCUUCACGGUUGAACACAUGUAUUUUUGAACACAUAUAAAUGAAGAAGUACUCUUAUGGAGAAAAAGAAUUGAUACCUUCGAUUGACAUUAGAUAAUGUAUAUAAACUUAUGAACAAUCACUAUCAGUUUGUAUUUUAGGUGCACACGCAGAUUUGUUGGAGUUCUUAUAAAAUGUACUUCCUGUACGAACGUUUUAUUCUUCCAAAUUUUACGAUACUAUGUCUCAUAUAAUAACUAUAUGGAUUAAACGUAAUAUAAAUGAUCCGAAAAUAGACUCGAACGACAUUAAUUGUCUUUCUAUUUAUACCAAUAUCGAUAAUACAAGUAAAGCUGGAGCAAUAGUAUGCAAGAAUGGACUAUUUAUUAUUUUAAACCAAAUCAUAGCAUAUUCAGAAUGCACAGUAUUAUCAUGAAAUGUAAAUGAAUCAGUUGUAAACGAACGAUUUUACUGUAAAAUCAUUGCCACCUUUUUUUCAUCUGAAAUAUAGCAGCAAUGAGUACAUUCUUUUAAUAUAUAAUAAAACGAGAUAUCUUUAUAAAGUUACAUAUGUCAUCACUGGUAACUGUUAUCUCGUAUGACACCAAAUAUACCGUUAGUAUGGAAUGAUAUUUUUAUGAAGAUAUACUUUAAUGAUAGAUUUUAUGAAUGAAACGUUAUAUAAGAAAAAUUAUCUCUUGUUAUUCUAUGAAGUGUAGUAGCUAAUGAAGAUUAAUUUUACGAAGUAUUAGAGCAAAAGAGAAUUAAAAAAUUAAAAAGAUCUAAAUAAGAUUGUUCGUGUGGCUUAAUUAUCUCAAUUCUGGUACACCACUUGUUACAUUCUAACUAAUUAGCGCUAAACAAUAACUUGCAAAUAUUAAAGAUAUUAACACCUUAAUAUUAACACCUAAAGGUUUUCAGGAAAUUUUAUAAUAUUUGAUUAUUGUAUAUCUAGUCAUUGAUUGAUAAAAUUUCUUGUAUAAGCAUAGAUCGAGGUUGACGUCAUACGCAGAUUGCAUUACAGGUAUCGUUUUAAUUUAUUUUAUGGCUAGAAUCAUUUGAAUAUUAUACGAAUAAUUAUUUCCAUUCGAACGAUUAAUAAAUCACGUACCUAUAAAAGAUAUAUUAUGAAAAAGACGUGACGAAACAAAAAAAUAUUGGAAAUUCCGUUGUCAUUAGAUCAAUUAUUUUUGCAAUGAUUUUUAUUUCCAUGUAAUUACAUAUGAAAUGGGUAAUUCAUUAACAUCUCCUCGAAUCGAAUAUAAUUCGUUACACUUCACAACGAUUCAAAUAAUGGACGGGAAAUAUAUAAUAACUUUCCUGUCCUUGCGUUAAAAUAGUACUGUACAAAUCAGAUGAUACAGGAAAUACCCAAAAAACCCAAUUACAUCCACAUUGCAUGACAGCACACUUGCAAUGGAUUUUUGUGAUUUCAAUGUCACAGACAAUGACACAACUAAUCAGAACACGUUCGAGGCUAUAGACAUUGAAAUUACCGCGUGUUUAAUACGUUUAAAGCAUAAAUCUAAAUUUCACGCGAUUAUUUCUUUGUACAUUGUGAAACUCUUAAAUUAUCUUAAUCGAAUAAAUAAUCCUAAUGUAAUAAAACAUCUUGAAAUAGACCUAGAUAUCUGAAACAGAAACUCGAAGGAUAAGAAAUCCUAAAAGGUACUAAUCCUAAAAUAACAAACUCCUAAAUAAUAAACAAGUGAUAAAACCUGUUAUAAAUAAUAAACCUUACCUGGAAUAAUCAAAUCCUAACUAAUCGAAAAUAAAAUAAGGCAAGCAAUUCUUAAUCUUUCAAGUAAUUUUUCCGAAAACACAGAAAGAUAGAGAAAUUAAAAAGACGCAGCACAAAUUGCAGCACAAUGAAAGUUUCAGAGCGAUGAAUACGAUCGUAUUAAACUAAAUAAUUUUCAAAAGUGAAAUUACACUGAAACGUAUAUCGAUGAUAUUUGUCAUUUCUACGAUCUGUUUCGCUUGAUCGUGCUUCUUUUCUGAUGUAAAUUCAAUUUAUAAUACGAACUAAGUUUCCUUUAUUAUUAUUAGUCCUGCGUCUUUUUAAUUCGUCACUUCUUUUAUUUCAGAACAAUGACGGGCUCCAAGAUGCUGUUCGGAUGUUUGGCGUUAAUUGCUUUUCUGCAUCCAUUAGUUCACGUUUGUACUUCGAGUAGUACAGCUCAAGGUUUGUACUUCGAGUUGUCUUUUUCCAUGCACUUCAAAUUCCAAUACGAUCUGGUCACGUGGCCUUCGUACAAUUUCGAAAUUUUACCUGUUUGGUAAUCGUCAAUGAAAAAAGAAGUUAUGCGUGACCUCAACACAUUGAAACAAUUUUUAUGAUUUUUUAUUUGCCGGUUGGUCAGCAAGUUAAUGGAAAAAUUUCACUUAACUAUUCGCGUUAAUUUCUUCGGUUUAACUUUUGGGAAAUGCUUCGUUAGCUUCGGGAAUAUUCCAACGAUUCGUUUUACGUACAAAAUAAGCAUGAUAAAUAUUACAUAACGGUAAUGUAAUAUCGGAAUAUAUUAAAGGUGUAAUUUUGUCCGAUUAAUUAUAAUUUAUUAAUAAUGGAUUGAAAAUACAGAUAUUAGUUAGACAGAGAAACGAUGUUUGAUUAACAGGAAAACUAAAUGCAACGCUCGUAUUUACAACAAAUAACUUGACAACUAUUUGGUAACUCUCUCUCUCUCUCUCUCUCUCUCUCUCUCUCUCACUAGCAACUCUAACACUCGACAACACUCGCAACUCAAUUCUAACGACUCUAUGCUUCGACGUCUCGAUCAACUCUGAACCUCGCCAAUGCAUUCCUGCUCGGUCCUGCACGCACGCACGCACACACGCGCGCGCGCGCGCACACACACACACACUUUUCGGCUCACAUACUCUGGCCUCUUGAUUGCCACUCCUUGAAAUAUGAAACCGUACUUCUGUUUUGACGCUGCUUAUCUUUUCUCGCGUCACUGUUACUAGGCGCUCUUGGAUGUAAACAAACCACAAAAAGACGGCGUACACGGUGUUUUCUAAUUUCAGCCGAUCUCCAAUCAAAGCUAUUCUACGAUAUUACAUUAUCGUAUAAUAAUAAGCUUUUAAUCGUUUAAUAAUAACUCGUCAAGUAGAAAUUCCACACGAAGCAUUGUGAAGAAUAAUACUUGAAGAAGAUCUAUGUUCUUACGAGAUUGGCUGUGUACAAGAACUUUGUUGGAUAGAUUGUAUCGUUUGACGAAAAUUUUAUUGUUGAAAGUUAAGAAAGUUGGAAAGAAAACCCACGCUGUCUCGAAGAUAUCUUGUUUUUCAGAUGCUGUAAAUUGACAAAUAACUAGAUAUUAGUAUUGACAUUAUUUGAUGUCAUAUCUGACCUUAAAGUAUAAAUAAAAUCAAUCUAGGAAUUAAUGAAAUUUCAAACAUUUUUUCUAAGAAAACAGAAGUUUUGUUCCUCCUAAUGAGUAUCACAUGAUGCAAUAGAAAAAUAAUUUGACAUUGAAAAUCGUGUCAAGAUCAAUUUCGAAGCUAUAAAAUCGUCUUAAAAAAACGCCGUGAUAAAAAAUUUUUUGACACCUUGUACAAAGGUGUAUAUCAACGUAAGUGUACCUGUAUGUCUAUAUUCGAGAUUAUUUAUCUAUUCAAGAUAGCAAAGUAAAAAUACUAUAUAGAGGAUUUAAUUAAUGUGUAUAUCAACACAUAUUCUCGAUAAUACGAUAAUACAAUAAUAUUCUCGAUAUACGUACGCGCGUGAUAGAAGGUCGUUCGGGGAAAAAUGUUCAUGACACCGAUAUAAAAAUACCAUAUGGAGGA